CUAUAAUACCCAACAUACACAGCAAGGACUUGAAUAGUUAGGGACCAAAAAAAUGUACAGUCAAACUAAAUAGCCUCACUGUGAAUAGCCAACACACCGCAAGUCAAACGAUCAGUCACACAACUGCAGCAUCGAGAAAACCAUCGACGAGUGAGUAGACAUCAAGUAGUUUCUCAUAUUGAUCACGCUCAGUAUAAGUUGUUCUCUAACAAUCAUCUAUACUCUCACUUUCGUGUCUCUAUACUGCAGACUCGAGACUCAUCUGUCCUAAAGAGAGGUGAUCCGUGCACC
This 291-nucleotide long non-coding RNA is filed under the name Elaeis guineensis (African oil palm). RNAcentral's name for it is "long non-coding RNA (EGUI_LNC048949)". The record is from RNAcentral. Lineage: Eukaryota; Viridiplantae; Streptophyta; Magnoliopsida; Arecales; Arecaceae.